AGCAGUAGCCGCGGUAAUACGGAGGGUGCAAGCGUUAUCCGGAUUUAUUGGGUUUAAAGGGUCCGUAGGCGGACUUAUAAGUCAGUGGUGAAAGCCUGUCGCUUAACGAUAGAACUGCCAUUGAUACUGUAAGUCUUGAGUAUAUUUGAGGUAGCUGGAAUAAGUAGUGUAGCGGUGAAAUGCAUAGAUAUUACUUAGAACACCAAUUGCGAAGGCAGGUUACCAAGAUAUAACUGACGCUGAGGGACGAAAGCGUGGGUAGCGAACAGGAUUAGAUACCCCAGUAGUCCCUGUCUCUUAUAC
This 303-nucleotide ribosomal RNA is filed under the name uncultured bacterium. Its description in RNAcentral is "partial 16S ribosomal RNA". It matches the Rfam family "Bacterial small subunit ribosomal RNA", at positions 507 to 807 of the family's 1533-position model. The record is from RNAcentral.